RNAcentral lists this microRNA precursor (103 nucleotides) under Marmota monax (woodchuck). Lineage: Eukaryota; Metazoa; Chordata; Mammalia; Rodentia; Sciuridae. The record is from RNAcentral.
AAACAGAUCACUUGGGGAUCUUCUAAAAUGCAGAUUCUGAUUCAGGAAAUCUGGGUUGAAUCUGAUAUGCUGAAUUUCUAAUAAACUCCCAGAUGAUGCUUAU